Long non-coding RNA from Arabidopsis thaliana (thale cress), 282 nucleotides. RefSeq annotates it as other RNA. NCBI's taxonomy places the organism in Eukaryota, Viridiplantae, Streptophyta, Magnoliopsida, Brassicales, Brassicaceae. The transcript has a single exon. The record is from RefSeq.
AGCAUGUUCAUUGUUCCUUGUUUAAGUGUUAAGCUCUCUUCUUUGCACCAACCUUUUUCCUUUUCUUCUUCAUGUAAUGAUUGAAAUUCCGUAAGGACGGAGCAAGUUUGAUGGCGCACGAGAGAUCUUUUUCAGAAGUGAAAAGUGAAAACCCCUGGCGCAUGUUAGUAGGGUCCUUUUGAUAGAAAAGAAAAAGAGAAGAUAGAGAAAAGAGACCCAUGCUCAAAAGUAUUAUCAUGCGCCAUUUUAAAUGGUCCUAAGUCCCAUCUCUAACCGAUUCUC